Molecule: ribosomal RNA, 449 nt
Filed under: uncultured bacterium
Lineage: Bacteria
Description: partial 16S ribosomal RNA
Rfam family: Bacterial small subunit ribosomal RNA
Source: RNAcentral
AGCGAACGCUGGCGGCAGGCCUAACACAUGCAAGUCGAACGAAGUCUUCGGACUUAGUGGCGGACGGGUGAGUAACAAGUGGGAACGUACCGCUAGGUUCGGAACAAUUCAGGGAAACUUGAGCUAAUACAGGAUAAGCCGUUCGGGGGAAAGAUUUAUCGCCUUUAGAGCGGCCCGCGUUAGAUUAGCUAGUUGGUUGGGUAAAGGCUCACCAAGGCUACCGUCUAUAGCUGGGCUGAGAGGAUGAUCAGCCACACUGGGACUGAGACACGGCCCAGACUCCUACGGGAGGCAGCAGUGGGGAAUCUUGCGCCAUGGGCGAAAGCCUGACGCAGCCAUGCCGCGUGAAUGAUGAUGGUCUUAGGAUUGUAAAAUUCUUUUACCAGGGACGAUAAUGACGGUACCUGGAGAAAAAGCCCCGGCUAACUUCGUCCCAGCAGCCGCCGCGG